UGGGGAAUAUUGCACAAUGGGCGCAAGCCUGUUGCAGCCAUGCCGCGUGUGUGAAGAAGGCCUUCGGGUUGUAAAGCACUUUCAGCGGGGAGGAAGGCGAUAAGGUUAAUAACCUUGUCGAUUGACGUUACCCGCAGAAGAAGCACCGGCUAACUCCGUGCCAGCAGCCGCGGUAAUACGGAGGGUGCAAGCGUUAAUCGGAAUUACUGGGCGUAAAGCGCACGCAGGCGGUCUGUCAAGUCGGAUGUAAAAUCCCCGGGCUCAACCUGGGAACUGCAUUCGAAACUGGCAGGCUAGAGUCUUGUAGAGGGGGGUAGAAUUCCAGGUGUAGCGGUGAAAUGCAUAGAGAUCUGGAGGAAUACCGGUGGCGAAGGCGGCCCCCUGGACAAAGACUGACGCUCAGGUGCGAAAGCGUGGGGAGCAAACAGG
RNAcentral lists this ribosomal RNA (429 nucleotides) under Chloroflexota bacterium. RNAcentral's name for it is "Chloroflexi bacterium partial 16S ribosomal RNA". It matches the Rfam family "Bacterial small subunit ribosomal RNA", at positions 355 to 776 of the family's 1533-position model. The record is from RNAcentral. Lineage: Bacteria; Bacillati; Chloroflexota.